GCCAAACAUUGCAUUAAUCUAAAUGUUUAAUGAGUCUAUCAGUCCAGUACUGGGAAAAGCAGUAAUUACCUUUUUUCCAGCAGCAUUUGUGUAUUUUGAUUUCUGUGUCAUCUCAAAUGUUGAUGAGCUUGUGCUAGUUAUACUUCAUAGUAUUUUAUUGGAAGGUAUAUAAUUAUUCAGCUCAUAAAGAGAAAUGACCUCAUAUACAACCAAUUCUUUAUCAUAGUGUAACUAGCACUCUGCUCAUUCAUUUAUCCAUUUAUUCAUUCAUUUAUUUGUUAUGUGCCAGUUAUGACUCAGGAACAGGGUGGACACUUAGAUUAAGGAGAUGAGUAAUUUGCAGCCCCACCCCUGGAAGAAGUCAAAGUGCAGUAAGGAAAACAGACAAGUAAAAACUAAAGUACACCAUGAGCAGGGAUUCCUACAGUACUUUAGAAGCAGGAGAUGACUCUGCUGAGAAAUGAGGAAAGGCUUCAAAAAGGCAGCUUACAGAAUGCUUUCCAUCAUGGGAAAGGAGGUGAAAGGCAAUUCAGGAAAGAAUGACACGUGGAAUGGCAAGAGCCCUGGGUCUUUAAGAAAGGAGUGACAACUCUGACUAUGUUAUAGGGCAUAUGCAGUGAAAGAGUCACAUGAAACCUGUGUGCUAAAUCUGAACUUCAGCUUGUAGUUCCAAAACCCUAGUCCCCC
Molecule: long non-coding RNA, 687 nt
Filed under: Marmota monax (woodchuck)
Lineage: Eukaryota; Metazoa; Chordata; Mammalia; Rodentia; Sciuridae
Source: RNAcentral